This 167-nucleotide small nuclear RNA is filed under the name Pogona vitticeps (central bearded dragon). RNAcentral describes it as "U1 spliceosomal RNA (ENSPVIG00000007673.1)". It matches the Rfam family "U1 spliceosomal RNA". From Rfam's summary of the family: U1 is a small nuclear RNA (snRNA) component of the spliceosome (involved in pre-mRNA splicing). Its 5' end forms complementary base pairs with the 5' splice junction, thus defining the 5' donor site of an intron. Lineage: Eukaryota; Metazoa; Chordata; Lepidosauria; Squamata; Agamidae. The record is from RNAcentral.
AGAAGGGGGUAGGGCCAUGAAAUACCAUGUUGUCAAAAUGGUUUUCACAGGGAGAGGCUCAUCCAUUGCACUUUGGGUGUGCUGUUGACCCCUGUGAUUUCCCCAAAUGUGGGGAACUCAACUACAUAAUUUGUUUUUUGGGGGGCAUUAUGUUUCUGAUUUCUGUU